GAUGAACGCUGGCGGCGUGCCUAAUACAUGCCAGUCGAGCGAACAGACGAGGAGCUUGCUCCUCUGACGUUAGCGGCGGGCGGGUGAGUAACACGUGGAUAACCUACCUAUAAGACUGGGAUAACUUCGGGAAACCGGAGCUAAUACCGGAUAAUAUAUUGAACCGCAUGGUUCAAUAGUGAAAGACGGUUUUGCUGUCACUUAUAGAUGGAUCCGCGCCGCAUUAGCUAGUUGGUAAGGUAACGGCUUACCAAGGCGACGAUGCGUAGCCGACCUGAGAGGGUGAUCGGCCACACUGGAACUGAGACACGGUCCAGACUCCUACGGGAGGCAUCAGUAGGGAAUCUUCCGCAAUGGGCGAAAGCCUGACGGAGCAACGCCGCGUGAGUGAUGAAGGUCUUCGGAUCGUAAAACUCUGUUAUUAGGGAAGAACAAAUGUGUAAGUAACUAUGCACGUCUUGACGGUACCUAAUCAGAAAGCCACGGCUAACUACGUG
This 497-nucleotide ribosomal RNA is filed under the name uncultured bacterium. RNAcentral's name for it is "partial 16S ribosomal RNA". It matches the Rfam family "Bacterial small subunit ribosomal RNA", at positions 28 to 507 of the family's 1533-position model. The record is from RNAcentral.